CCGGUCUCGCGAAUGCCUUAGAUUAAGUUUGAUCAUGGCUCAGGNUGAACGCUNGGCGGCGUGCCUAAUACAUGCAAGUCGAGCGAAUGGAUUGAGAGCUUGCUCUCAAGAAGUUAGCGGCGGACGGGUGAGUAACACGUGGGUAACCUGGCCCAUAAGACUGGGAUAACUCCGGGAAACCGGGGGCUAAUACCGGAUAAUAUUUUGAACUGCAUGGGUUCGAAAUUGAAAGGCGGCUUCGGCUGUCACUUAUGGAUGGACCCGCGUCGCAUUAGCUAGUUGGUGAGGUAACGGCUCACCAAGGCAACGAUGCGUAGCCGACCUGAGAGGGUGAUCGGCCACACUGGGA
This 349-nucleotide ribosomal RNA is filed under the name uncultured bacterium. Its description in RNAcentral is "bacterial SSU rRNA". It matches the Rfam family "Bacterial small subunit ribosomal RNA", at positions 1 to 318 of the family's 1533-position model. The record is from RNAcentral.